UACGGGGGGAGCAAGCGUUGUUCGGAUUUACUGGGCGUAAAGGGCGCGUAGGCGGCCACCGCAAGUCGACUGUGAAAUCUCCGGGCUUAACCCGGAAAGGUCAGCCGAUACUGCGGGGCUAGAGUGCAGAAGGGGCAACUGGAAUUCUCGGUGUAGCGGUGAAAUGCGUAGAGAUCGGGAGGAACACCGGUGGCGAAGGCGGGUCUCUGGGCAUUUCCUGACGCUGAGGCGCGAAAGCGUGGGGAGCAAACGGG
This 254-nucleotide ribosomal RNA is filed under the name uncultured bacterium. Its description in RNAcentral is "partial 16S ribosomal RNA". It matches the Rfam family "Bacterial small subunit ribosomal RNA", at positions 524 to 776 of the family's 1533-position model. The record is from RNAcentral.